AUACGUAGGAAGCGAGCGUUAUCCGGAAUUACUGGGCGUAAAGCGCGCGUAGGUGGUCUUUCAAGUCGAAUGUGAAAUUUCCCGGCUUAACCGGGAAGGGUCGUUCGAUACUGUUGGACUAGAGAGCGGCAGGGGGAAGCGGAAUUCCCGGUGUAGUAGUGAAAUGCGUAGAUAUCGGGAGGAACACCAGUGGCGAAGGCGGCUUCCUGGGCUGUUUCUGACACUGAGGCGCGAAAGUGUGGGGAGCGAACAGAAUUAGAUACUCUGGUAGUCCACACUGUAAACGAUGGGUACUAGGUAUAGGGAGUAUCGACCCUCUUUGUGCCGAAGCUAACGCUUUAAGUACCCCGCCUGGGGACUACGGCCGCAAGGCUAAA
RNAcentral lists this ribosomal RNA (377 nucleotides) under uncultured bacterium. RNAcentral's name for it is "bacterial SSU rRNA". It matches the Rfam family "Bacterial small subunit ribosomal RNA", at positions 523 to 898 of the family's 1533-position model. The record is from RNAcentral.